This 497-nucleotide ribosomal RNA is filed under the name uncultured bacterium. RNAcentral's name for it is "partial 16S ribosomal RNA". It matches the Rfam family "Bacterial small subunit ribosomal RNA", at positions 28 to 507 of the family's 1533-position model. The record is from RNAcentral.
GAUGAACGCUGGCGGCGUGCCUAAUACAUGCAAGUCGAGCGAACAGACGAGGAGCUUGCUCCUCUGACGUUAGCGGCGGACGGGUGAGUAACACGUGGAUAACCUACCUAUAAGACUGGGAUAACUUCGGGAAACCGGAGCUAAUACCGGAUAAUAUAUUGAACCGCAUGGUUCAAUAGUGAAAGACGGUUUUGCUGUCACUUAUAGAUGGAUCCGCGCCGCAUUAGCUGGUUGGUAAGGUAACGGCUUACCAAGGCAACGAUGCGUAGCCGACCUGAGAGGGUGAUCGGCCACACUGGAACGUAGACACGGUCCAGACUCCUACGGGAGGCAGCAGUAGGGAAUCUUCCGCAAUGGGCGAAAGCCUGACGGAGCAACGCCGCGUGAGUGAUGAAGGUCUUCGGAUCGUAAAACUCUGUUAUUAGGGAAGAACAAAUGUGUAAGUAACUAUGCACGUCUUGACGGUACCUAAUCAGAAAGCCACGGCUAACUACGUG